AGGGAAUCUUCCCCCAUGGACGCAAGUCUGAUGGAGCAACGCCGCGUGAGUGCACAAGGUUCUCGGAUCGUAAAGCCCUGUUGUUGGUGAAGAAGGAUAGUGGUAGUAACUGGCCUUUAUUUGACGGUAAUCAACCAGGAAGUCAAGGCUAACUGCUGGCCAGCAGCCGCGGUAAUACGUUAGGUGGCAAGCGUUGUCCGGAUUUAUUGGGCGUAAAGCGAGCGCAGGCGGAAAAAUAAGUCUGAUGUGAAAGCCCUCGGCUUAACCGAGGAACUGCAUCGGAAACUGUUUUUCUUGAGUGCAGAAGAGGAGAGUGGAACUCCAUGUGUAGCGGUGGAAUGCGUAGAUAUAUGGAAGAACACCAGUGGCGAAGGCGGCUCUCUGGUCUGCAACUGACGCUGAGGCUCGAAAGCAUGGGUAGCGAACA
RNAcentral lists this ribosomal RNA (427 nucleotides) under uncultured Lactobacillaceae bacterium. RNAcentral describes it as "bacterial SSU rRNA". It matches the Rfam family "Bacterial small subunit ribosomal RNA", at positions 356 to 774 of the family's 1533-position model. Lineage: Bacteria; Bacillati; Bacillota; Bacilli; Lactobacillales; Lactobacillaceae. The record is from RNAcentral.